RNAcentral lists this ribosomal RNA (578 nucleotides) under unidentified cyanobacterium UNIWG. RNAcentral describes it as "bacterial SSU rRNA". It matches the Rfam family "Bacterial small subunit ribosomal RNA", at positions 156 to 767 of the family's 1533-position model. The record is from RNAcentral. Lineage: Bacteria; Bacillati; Cyanobacteriota.
ACGACUGCUAAUACCCAAUGUGCCGAAAGGUGAAAGAUUUAUCGUCUGAAGAUGGGCUCGCGUCUGAUUAGCUAGAUGGUGGGGUAAGAGCCUACCAUGGCAACGAUCAGUAGCUGGUCUGAGAGGAUGAGCAGCCACACUGGGACUGAGACACGGCCCAGACUCCUACGGGAGGCAGCAGUGGGGAAUUUUCCGCAAUGGGCGAAAGCCUGACGGAGCAAUACCGCGUGAGGGAGGAAGGUCCUUGGAUUGUAAACCUCUUUUAUCAGGGAAGAAGUUCUGACGGUACCUGAUGAAUAAGCAUCGGCUAACUCCGUGCCAGCAGCCGCGGUAAUACGGAGGAUGCAAGCGUUAUCCGGAAUUAUUGGGCGUAAAGCGUCCGUAGGUGGUUAUGCAAGUCUGCCGUUAAAGAAUGGAGCUUAACUCCAUAGGAGCGGUGGAAACUGCAAGACUAGAGUACAGUAGGGGUAGCAGGAAUUCCCAGUGUAGCGGUGAAAUGCGUAGAUAUUGGGAAGAACAUCGGUGGCGAAAGCGUGCUACUGGGCUGAAACUGACACUGAGGGACGAAAGCUAGGGUA